UCGAGCGAACGGACGAGAAGCUUGCUUCUCUGAUGUUAGCGGCGGACGGGUGAGUAACACGUGGAUAACCUACCUAUAAGACUGGGAUAACUUCGGGAAACCGGAGCUAAUACCGGAUAAUAUUUUGAACCGCAUGGUUCAAAAGUGAAAGACGGUCUUGCUGUCACUUAUAGAUGGAUCCGCGCUGCAUUAGCUAGUUGGUAAGGUAACGGCUUACCAAGGCAACGAUGCAUAGCCGACCUGAGAGGGUGAUCGGCCACACUGGAACUGAGACACGGUCCAGACUCCUACGGGAGGCAGCAGUAGGGAAUCUUCCGCAAUGGGCGAAAGCCUGACGGAGCAACGCCGCGUGAGUGAUGAAGGUCUUCGGAUCGUAAAACUCUGUUAUUAGGGAAGAACAUAUGUGUAAGUAACUGUGCACAUCUUGACGGUACCUAAUCAGAAAGCCACGGCUAACUACGUGCCAGCAGCCGCGGUAAUACGUAGGUGGCAAGCGUUAUCCGGAAUUAUUGGGCGUAAAGCGCGCGUAGGCGGUUUUUUAAGUCUGAUGUGAAAGCCCACGGCUCAACCGUGGAGGGUCAUUGGAAACUGGAAUACUUGAGUGCAGAAGAGGAAAGUGGAAUUCCAUGUGUAGCGGUGAAAUGCGCAGAGAUAUGGAGGAACACCAGUGGCGAAGGCGACUU
Molecule: ribosomal RNA, 683 nt
Filed under: uncultured Staphylococcus sp.
Lineage: Bacteria; Bacillati; Bacillota; Bacilli; Caryophanales; Staphylococcaceae
Description: bacterial SSU rRNA
Rfam family: Bacterial small subunit ribosomal RNA
Source: RNAcentral